GUGCCAGCAGCCGCGGUAAUUCCAGCUCCAAUAGCGUAUAUUAAAGUUGUUGUGGUUAAAAAGCUCGUAGUUGAACCUUGGGCCUGGCUGGCCGGUCCGCCUCACCGCGUGCACUGGUCCGGCCGGGCCUUUCCCUCUGUGGAACCCCAUACCCUUCACUGGGCGUGGCGGGGAAACAGGACAUUUACUUUGAAAAAAUUAGAGUGCUCCAGGCAGGCCUAUGCUCGAAUACAUUAGCAUGGAAUAAUAAAAUAGGACGCGCGGUUCUAUUUUGUUGGUUUAUAGGACCGCCGUAAUGAUUAAUAGGGACAGUCGGGGGCAUCAGUAUUCAACUGUCAGAGGUGAAAUUCUUGGAUCAGUUGAAGACUAACUACUGCGAAAGCAUUUGCCAAGGAUGUUUUCAUUAAUCAGGAACGAAAGUUAGGGGAUCGAAGACGAUCAGAUACCGUCGUAGUCUUAACCAUAAACUAUGCCGACUAGGGAUCGGACGGUGUUAUUCAUGACCCGUUCGGCACCUUACGAGAAAUCAAAGUGCUUGGGCUCCAGGGGGAGUAUGGUCGCAAGGCUGAAACUUAAAGAAAUUGACGGAAGGGCACCACCAGGGGUGGAGCCUGCGGCUUAAUUUGACUCAACACGGGGAAACUCACCAGGUCCAGACACAAUAAGGAUUGACAGAUUGAGAGCUCUUUCUUGAUUUUGUGGGUGGUGGUGCAUGGCCGUUCUUAGUGGUGGGGGUGACUUGUCUGCUAAUUGCGAUACGAACGAGACCUUAACCUGCUAAUAGCCCGCAUUGCUCCGGCAGUGCGCUGGCUUCUUAGAGGGACUUUCCG
This 830-nucleotide ribosomal RNA is filed under the name uncultured fungus. RNAcentral describes it as "SSU rRNA". It matches the Rfam family "Eukaryotic small subunit ribosomal RNA", at positions 564 to 1426 of the family's 1831-position model. Lineage: Eukaryota; Fungi. The record is from RNAcentral.